RNAcentral lists this unclassified non-coding RNA (433 nucleotides) under soil metagenome. Its description in RNAcentral is "partial contains 5.8S ribosomal RNA, internal transcribed spacer 2, and large subunit ribosomal RNA". The stretch from base 1 to 120 matches the Rfam family "5.8S ribosomal RNA", at positions 35 to 154 of the family's 154-position model. The record is from RNAcentral.
GAUGAAGAACGUAGCGAAAUGCGAUACGUAAUGUGAAUUGCAGAAUUCAGUGAAUCAUCGAAUCUUUGAACGCAUAUUGCGCUCUCUGGUAUUCCGGAGAGCAUGCUUGUUUGAGUAUCAGUAAACACCUCAACUCCCCUUUCUUUUUUUGAAAUGGGAGCUGGACUUGAGUGAUCCCAACGCUUUUCUCACCGAAAAGUGGCGGGUUACUUGAAAUGCAGGUGCAGCUGGACUUUUCUCUGAGCUAAAAGCAUAUCUAUUUAGUCUGCCUAAAAAACAGAUUAUUACCUUUGCUGCAGCUAACAUAAAGGAGAUUAGUUCUUGUGCUGACUGAUGCAGGAUUCACAGAGACAGCUUCGGCUGGCCUUUGAAAACUCGAUCUCAAAUCAAGUAAGACUACCCGCUGAACUUAAGCAUAUCAAUAAGCGGAGGA